AGGUGCGCACCCUCACUUACCGCAACUCCAUGUUUCAUAACCGGCACCUCUUCAAGGACAAGGUGGUGCUGGACGUCGGCUCGGGCACCGGCAUCCUCUGCAUGUUUGCUGCCAAGGCCGGGGCCCGCAAGGUCAUCGGGAUCGAGUGUUCCAGUAUCUCUGAUUAUGCGGUGAAGAUCGUCAAAGCCAACAAGUUAGACCACG
RNAcentral lists this non-coding RNA (204 nucleotides) under Homo sapiens (human). The record is from RNAcentral. Lineage: Eukaryota; Metazoa; Chordata; Mammalia; Primates; Hominidae.